ACUGAUGUAUUCAACGAGUCUAUAGCCUUGGCCGAAGCGGGCCCGUAAUCUUUGAAAAUUUCAUCGUGAUGGGGAUAGAUCAUUGCAAUUGUUGGUCUUCAACGAGGAAUUCCCUAGUAAGCACGAGUCAUCGGCUCGCGUUGACUACGCCCCCGCCCUUUGUACACACCACCCGUCGCUCCUACCGAUAGAAUGGUCCGGUGAAGUGUUCGGAUCGAGGCGACGGGGGCGGUUCGCCGCCCGCGACGUCGCGAGAAGUCCACUGAACCUUAUCAUUUAGAGGAAGGAGAAGUCGUAACAAGGUUUCCGUAGGUGAACCUGCGGAAGGAUCAUUGUCGAGACCCACUGACGAGGACGAUCGUGAAUGUGUCAACGAUUGCUCGCUAGGCUCGUCCCGAGAACACCCUGAAUGUCGGUCCGCCCUCGGGCGGGACGACCGAGGGGAUGAACUACCAACCCCAGCGCGGAUAAUGCCAAGGAACACGAACAUCGAAGUCGGAGGGCCUCGCUGCAUGCAAUAGGCUACAAUUCCAACGGUGACCCCAUUGGACGACUCUCGGCAACGGAUAUCUCGGCUCUCGCAUCGAUGAAGAACGUAGCGAAAUGCGAUACCUGGUGUGAAUUGCAGAAUCCUAUGAACCAUCGAGUCUUUGAAUGCAAGUUGCGCGAGGCCAUCCGGCUAAAGGCACACGCCACCUGGGCGUCACGCUUUCGGCUUCGUCGUUGCUCCCUCCUCAGGGGCGAAACAGCGAGGAUGGCCCCCGUCUUGGGAAGGUGCGGUUGGCCAAGAGCGGGCCGUCGAUGGUUGUCGAACACGAUGCGUGGUGGAUGCCUUGUGCGAGCCGUACGUCGUGCCUUCGGGACCCGGGCGAGGCCUCGAGGUCCCAAGUCGUGGUGCGAGUCGAUGCCACGGAUCGCGACCCCUGGUCAGGUGGGGCUACCCGCUGAGUUUAACAUAUAAAUAAGCGGAGGAGAAGAAACUUACAAGGAUUCCCUUUGUAACGGCGAGCAAACCGGGAUUAGCCCAGCUUGAGAAUUGGGCGGCUGCGUCGUCUGAAUUGUAGUCUGGAGAAGCGUCCUCAGCGAUGGACUGGGCCCAAGUCCCCUGGAAAGGGGCGCCGGGGAGGGUGAGAGCCCCGUCCGAAUCAACUAGCCCCGAAAAUGGAUGGCGCUGAAGGGCGCGACCCACACCCAGCCAUCGGCGCGAGCGCCAAGCCCUGAUGAGUAGGAGGGCACGGCGGUCGCCGCCAAAAAACCAGUAGGAAAGCCCCGCGAUGGGGUCGUCGGUCGGAUCUUGGUGGUAGUAGCAAAUAUUCAAAUGGGAACUUUGAAGGCCAAAGAGGGGAAAGGUUCCAUGUGAAUGGCACUUGCACAUGGGUUAGCCGAUCCUAAGGGAUGGGGGAAGCCCGUCCGAGAGCGUGUCUCCGCGCGAGCUCCGAAAGGGAAUCGGGUUAAAAUUCCCGAGCCGGGACGCGGCGGCCGACGGCAACGUUAGGAAGUCCGGAGACGCCGGCGGGGGCUCCGGAAAGAGUUAUCUUUUUCUGCUUAAUGGCCCGCCACCUGGAAAUGGCUCAACCCGGAGGUAGGGUCCAGCCGGUCGGAAGAAGCGCCGCCGCGUCCUGGGCGUCCGGUGAGCCCCGGACAACCUUUGAAAAUCCGGAGGACCGAAAGUGCCGCCCGUGCCGGUCAGUAUUCAUAACCGCAUCGGUCUCCAAGGUGAACAGCCUACGGCCCAUGGAACAAUGUAGGCAAGGGAAGUCGGCAAAAACAGAUCUAUAACCGGAAAAGGAUUGGCUCGAGGGCUGGGCACGGGGUCCCCGAACCGUCAUUUGUCGGCGGAUCUUUGGAGCUGCUCUCGCGCGACGCGAGCGGGUCGCCGCGAUGCCGGGCGGUGGGCGGACGGAAUGGCCCCCUCGGGGCCUUCCCCGGCGUCGAACAGCCGACUCGAACUGAAUACGGACAAGGGAAUCCGACUGUUCAAUUAAAACAAAGCAUUGCGAUGGUCCCCGCGGAUGCUCAUGCAAUGUGAUUUCUGCCCGAUGCUCAAUGUCAAAGUGAAGAAAUUCAACCAAGCGCCGGUAAACGGCAGGAGUAACUAUGACUCUCUUAAGGUAGUCAAAUGCCUCGUCAUCUAAUUAGUGACGCCGCGCAUGAAUGGAUUAACGAGAUUCCCCCCGUCCCCCGCAUCUACUAUCCAAAUAAACCACGACCAAGGGAACGGGCUUGGCAGAAUCAGUGGGGAAAGAAGACCUGUUGAGCUUGACUCUAGUCCGACUUUGUGAAAUGACUUGAGAGGUGUAGGAUAAGUGGGAGCGGUUAAGCGGCGGAAGUGAAAUACCACUACUUUUAACGUUAUUUUACUUAUUUCGUGAGUUGGAGGCGGGGCCCGACCCCUCCUUUUGGACCCAAGGCCCGCCUAGCGGGCCGAUCCGGGCGGAAGACAUUGUCAGGUGGGGAGUUUGGCUAGGGCGGCACAUCUGUUAAAAGAUAACGCAGGUGUCCUAAGAUGAGCUCAACGAGAAUAGAAAUCUCGUGUGGAACAAAAGGGUAAAAGCUCGUUUGAUUCUGAUUUCCGAUGCGAAUCUGAACCGUGAAAGCGUGGCCUAUCGAUCCUUUAGACCUUCGAAUUUGAAGCUAGAGGUGUCGAAAAAAAGUUACCACAGGGAUAACUGGCUUGUGGCAGCCAAGCGUUCAUAGCGACGUUGCUUUUUUAUCCUUCGAUGUCGGCUCUUCCUCUCAUUGUGAAGCAGAAUUCACCAAGUGUUGGAUUGUUCACCAACCAAUAGGGAACGUGAGCUGGGUUUAGACCGUCGUGAGACAAGUUAGUUUUACCCUACUGAUGAUCGUGUCACGAUAGUAAUUCAACCUAGUACGAGAGGAACCGUUGAUUAACACAAUUGGUCAACGCGCUUGGUUGAAAAGCCAGUGGCGCGCAGCUACCGUGUGUCGGAUUAUGACUGAACGCCUCUAAGUCAGAAUCCUAGCUAGCAACUGGCACUCUCGCCCGUCGUUCGCCUCCCGACCCACAGUAGGGGCCUUUGGCCCCCAUGGGCUCGUGUCGCCGGUGUAGCCCUCGUGGUGGUAUAGCCACGGGCGGCCAUCGGGAAGUGAAAUUCCGCACGGACGACGGGCCGAAUCCUUUGCA
RNAcentral lists this ribosomal RNA (3145 nucleotides) under Musa schizocarpa. Its description in RNAcentral is "bacterial LSU rRNA". The stretch from base 918 to 3145 matches the Rfam family "Eukaryotic large subunit ribosomal RNA". The record is from RNAcentral. Lineage: Eukaryota; Viridiplantae; Streptophyta; Magnoliopsida; Zingiberales; Musaceae.